ACGGCCAUACCAUGCUGAAUAUACCGGUUCUCGUUCGAUCACCGAAGUCAAGCAUCAUCAUCGGGCGCGGUCAGUACUUGGGAGGGUGACCACCUGGGAACACCGCGUGCCGUU
Caerostris extrusa is the source of this 114-nucleotide non-coding RNA. The record is from the annotation of a GenBank genome assembly. NCBI's taxonomy places the organism in Eukaryota, Metazoa, Arthropoda, Arachnida, Araneae, Araneidae.